RNAcentral lists this transfer RNA (86 nucleotides) under uncultured Segetibacter sp. RNAcentral describes it as "tRNA-Pseudo-TGA". Lineage: Bacteria; Pseudomonadati; Bacteroidota; Chitinophagia; Chitinophagales; Chitinophagaceae. The record is from RNAcentral.
AGAGAAUUGACCGAGUGGUUUAAGGUGAUAAGCUUGAAACUUAUUUGAUCCAAAGGAUCACAUCCGUUCAAAUCGGAUAUUUUCUG